GUGCAGCAGGCGAGAAACCUCCGCAAUGCGGGAAACCGCGACGGGGGACCCCGGAGUGCCGUGGCAACGCCACGGCUUUUCCGGAGUGUAAAAGCUCCGGGAAUAAGGGCUGGGCAAGGCCGGUGGCAGCCGCCGCGGUAAUACCGGCGGCCCGAGUGGUGGCCGCUAUUAUUGGGCCUAAAGCGUCCGUAGCCGGGCCCGUAAGUCCCUGGCGAAAUCCCACGGCUCAACCGUGGGGCUUGCUGGGGAUACUGCGGGUCUUGGGACCGGGAGAGGCGGGGGGUACCCCUGGGGUAGGGGUGGAAAUCCUAUAAUCCCAGGGGGACCGCCAGUGGCGAAGGCGCCCCGCUGGAACGGGUCCGACGGUGAGGGACGAAGGCCAGGGGAGCAAACCGGAUUAGAUA
Molecule: ribosomal RNA, 404 nt
Filed under: uncultured microorganism
Description: bacterial SSU rRNA
Rfam family: Archaeal small subunit ribosomal RNA
Source: RNAcentral